UUUAUUUUCAUGUGCUCGUGCUAUGUGGGAUGCUCCUCUGGGGCUGAGAUUUUAGUUUUAAAAUUUCUGUCUGUGAGAAAAAAUAGGGAGAUAUAAUAGAAAGCACUAAAAAUGGGUCAUGUAGUUCUAAAACUGCUGUUUGAAUCUGAGGAAGAAAAUAGUUUCUGCACUUAUAAAAAACUUUUUUUUUUUUUUUUAAUGGAUGUAACAAGAAAUAAUGAGAGAUGAAUUUCUGGGACCUCCUAGAGGUUACAUCCACACAUGGACCACAGCAAGUGAAGCCCAGUGCCUGAUGUCUCACCCUCCCUGGGUUCUGUGCCAGCUCCUGAGACCAAAGUCUUGGCACAUUGCAUAUCUUCACGUGGAUGUAAAAAAGCCCUCAGGACUCAAAUCAUGAGAGUCAUUUCCUGAAUUCAUUUAAAUGAACCAUUCCAUCAGACCCUGACAUCCUCUCUGCAAUCUUUUCGAUUGAUGCAAGUUCCCAACUUUGUUUCCAGGAACCUGGGGCUUUUCCUGUAUGGCUGAGGAAGAAGCUACCGUCAUGGCAGGCAAGGCAAGAACGGCGGUGAAUGUCUGGCCUGAAAGCUGUACUCGUUACCCUUGGUCUUCAGCAGGAAAAGGAAUUGUUUUGUCUGUCUACUCUGUGAAGAGAGCUUACUAGCACUUAAUAUGAACUCAGAACUGCGCCCCUAGGCAGCAGAGAAUCUGGAAAGCAUGAAAGCUAACACUUAAGGCAGGAUCACAAACAUCCUGGGGGACAAGGGGAGGAAAAUGCCCCUCGAAAGCACUUUAACACCUUCCCUGAAAUGGGACAGCACUGCAAAGAGCCGCUGCUCUCAGCAGCCAGGCCAACAGGGAGCGUAGGGGAGGAGUUCCAUCAGUCACCUCACAGCCUGGUGCCUGCUGAGGGAUCGCCCCUUUGACUGCCCCAGCCUCUUCCCGGGAGCACCUCUUACUGCUGAGCUAGAAAUGGAAGGGGGAAGAGGGCUGUCGCCCCAAUUACCCUCUCAUCUAGAUGAAGGUGUGAUUAGAUGUGAGGUUUGCCCUUACGGUGGGUCUGUGGUGCUUGAGACCCAAACUGAGCUCAAACCCACUCCCUGCCCAGACCUGUUUGUGCAGCCGGGGCCACCACCACGCCUUCUCUGAGGACACACAGUGCGGCUGCUGGGCAGGCAGCAGCAGUGCCACGUUUUGUGCCGUUUCCUAACGCUGGGAUCGGCAGGAAGCAGCAUCCAAAGGGCAUUCAAAGGCCUCUCAUCAGACAGUGCCUUGCUCCAGGCUCAUUGGGGUUUUUGAGUGGAGAAAUUUCCCGUCUCUCCUGGACUAAAAGAAGAGAAAAGGACUAUCAGGCCUAUAUGGCCAAGGAGCACUUACAGAAUAGGACACAAUGCCAGAGCUUCAUGUUUUGGGCCUUCACCUGGCUGUUAGCAAAACUGAGAGUAAACAGAUCUGUUGAAAUACUGCAGCAUCUCCUGGCAAUUGCUGCAGACGUUUCAAACCCACACAAGGGGCAUAGGUUAUCUUUUUCAUGCUGUUAGACCCAGGCCAUCAAAGGUGAUUCUAGUGAGUGUAAGAUACCAAAACAUCUCCAGGACCCUGUGACUUAUUAGCUUUCAAAGAAAAACAGGUUAUCAGUCUGAUUUCUGGGGGUGUGUUAGCACUGGUAGCAACAUGGGGAAACCUAAGUGGCAUUCUGACAAGAUACCCUUGGGUCUCCAGGCCUGGUAAAACCAUGGCAGCCUAAUAAAUGGGAUAUUGUGAAACUCUAUUAGGUGUCGCUCUCCUUCUUCAGGAAAGAUCCCCUGGAGUGUUACAAUGCCCUUAAAAAUCAGUGGUGGUUCAAUGGCUGAAUACCUGCAGAAAUCUGGCCUCCACCUUUCUCAGAAAUUUUCCCUAUGAUUUAUGCCAUUGAGGUGUAGCCUCUGACAAUAAGAGUAGAAGCCUAAAUAUUUUACUCAGAGGACUCAGAGAGCCUUUUUCAUACCUGAGUUUGAGGCUGGCAUUCAGUUAAUGUUGAUGUAAUGUCUUUUUUAAAAAGACUGUAAUUAAAUUUACCAACACAGUCACCAAAGAGCCAUUUAUAAAUUGUAUAUAUAGUUGCAAUUCAGCAUCUGUUGUGACUAUUUCAUUGGGUUAGUCCUAACAUCACAAGCUAAUAAUACUUAAAACAGGGAUAUGGGUAAUUCACAAAGGACACUGUACUCUCUAUAUAGCUAACAGUGAUUAAGUAGUCUCUGCUUUCAGAAGAAAGAUAAGGGCAAAAAAGAAUAGGUCCCUCGAUAAUAUCAGGUAAUUCUUAUAUAUAGUCCGUCA
This is a long non-coding RNA of Hirundo rustica (Barn swallow), 2313 nucleotides long. RefSeq lists it as uncharacterized. NCBI's taxonomy places the organism in Eukaryota, Metazoa, Chordata, Aves, Passeriformes, Hirundinidae. The record is from RefSeq and is a predicted model, not a curated record. The transcript is spliced from 3 exons.